Molecule: ribosomal RNA, 485 nt
Filed under: uncultured bacterium
Lineage: Bacteria
Description: partial 16S ribosomal RNA
Rfam family: Bacterial small subunit ribosomal RNA
Source: RNAcentral
AUUGAACGCUGGCGGCAUGCCUUACACAUGCAAGUCGAACGGUAGCGGGCCCUUCGGGGUGCCGGCGAGUGGCGAACGGGUGAGUAAUGCAUCGGAACGUACCCGGGAGAGGGGGAUAACCGGCCGAAAGGCUGGCUAAUACCGCAUGAACUCGGAAGAGCAAAGCGGGGGACCUUCGGGCCUCGCGCUCUCGGAGCGGCCGAUGUCCGAUUAGGCUAGUUGGUGGGGUAAAGGCCCACCAAGGCGACGAUCGGUAGCGGGUCUGAGAGGACGAUCCGCCACACUGGGACUGAGACACGGCCCAGACUCCUACGGGAGGCAGCAGUGGGGAAUCUUGGACAAUGGGCGCAAGCCUGAUCCAGCAAUGCCGCGUGGGUGAAGAAGGCCUUCGGGUUGUAAAGCCCUUUCGGCGGGGAAGAAAUCGGUCAGGCGAAUAGUCUGGCCGGAUGACGGUACCCGCAGAAGAAGCACCGGCUAACUACGUG